Molecule: small RNA, 836 nt
Filed under: Arabidopsis thaliana (thale cress)
Lineage: Eukaryota; Viridiplantae; Streptophyta; Magnoliopsida; Brassicales; Brassicaceae
Description: ATSL275310
Source: RNAcentral
GAAAGAAUUGAUGAACCUUCGCCGUGGGUCCCACCCGCUGUAUAGGGACACCCCAUCUAGUCUUAACGAGCUUUGAUGCAUAAAAAAAUUCUAAAACAAUGCUUUAACAAGUAAUUUUGGGUCCGUAAUAUAGCCCAAAUCACAAAAAUGCGCGAAAAAGUAUUUAAAGGUCAAAAUUUGGGUUCGACAAAAAGUCAAUGGAAAAGUUCGUUUGUCGUGCUUCUUUCGUCGGAAGGCUCUCUUUGGGAUUUCCGAAAAGGUAGCACAUGCCUAGUUUGGCCUCACGGUAUAAAAGUUAUAGAGUUAUAAAGUUUUAACCAAAAAAAACAAAUUAAAAAAAAGAGGGAUGCAACACGAGGACUUCCCGGGAGGUCACCCAUCCUAGUACUACUCUCGCCCAAGCACGCUUAACGAAAGGUCAAAAUUUGGAGUCGACAAAAACUCAAUACAUAUGUUCCAUUGUCCUGCUUCUUUCAUCGGAGGGCUUUCUUUGGGCUUUCCGAAAAGGUAUCACAUGCCUAGUUUGGCCUCUCGGUAUAAAAGUUAUAGAGUCAUAAAGUUUUAACCAAAGAAAAAAAUUAAAAAAAAAGAGAGAUACAACACGAGGACUUCCCGGGAGGUCACCCAUCCUAGUACUACUCUCGCCCAAGCAUGCUUAACUGCGGAUUUCUGAUGGGAUCCGGUGUAUUAGUGCUGGUAUGAUCGCAUCCGUUAGUAUAUGCAAUGCAAUCGUAUAUAUUCUUUUUUGAAGACUUGAUGAACCAUUCGCCGUGGGUCGCACCCGCUAUGUAGGGAUACCCCAUCUAGUCUUAACGAGCUUUGAUGCAUGAUAAAAU